GGAAGCUUGGACUGCAGACUUGAAGCCCAGAACCAGGGACUCAUAUUACAUUUACACAAGCCACUUGUUUGGGUGGUUGACUGUAAACUGAACCCUGGAAAGUGGCCUGGGUGCGGAAUGGUCAGGCACUGCUGAUGCCUCAAAGGACAGGCAGAAACAAGAGACACAUGGAGGACCAUCCCUUGGAGCUUCUAAUGUUUAUUCUGUCGGCUACAAAGCCUGCUGUCUUUGAAUGUAAUGUAUCGUCUUCUACAAACAGGAUGCCAAGGAUCUCACUGGUGAUGCUGGAUUUAAAGAUCGGGUGCCUUGGUGCAGCUGCUGUGACUGGAGACCUUGUUCAACUAGAAGCCCAAGAGUAGGCUGGAGAAACAGAGCAUUACCUUUUGCAUGUGUGAGGCAACAAUAAACACCCCUGGAAUGCUGUUCCUCA
RNAcentral lists this long non-coding RNA (430 nucleotides) under Mus spicilegus (steppe mouse). RNAcentral describes it as "lncRNA (ENSMSIG00000002749.1)". The record is from RNAcentral. Lineage: Eukaryota; Metazoa; Chordata; Mammalia; Rodentia; Muridae.